ACUCAAAUGAAUAGACGGGGGCCCGCACAAGCGGAGGAGCAUGUGGCUCAAUUCGAUGCUACGCGAAGAACCUUACCCAGGCUUGACAUGGGGCUGCAAGGCCGGCGAAAGCCGGCCCGCCUUCGAGGGCGCCCCACAGGUGCUGCAUGGCUGUCGUCAGUUCGUGCCGUGAGGUGUUCGGUUAAGUCCGAUAACGAACGCAACCCCUGCGCCGUGUUGCCAGCGCGUCAAGGCGGGCACUCGCGGCGGACUGCCCGUUCACGCGGGAGGAGGGUGGGGACGACGUCAAGUCAGUAUGGCCCUUACGCCUGGGGCUGCACACGUGCUACAAUGGCCGGCACAGAGGGACGCCAAGCGGCGACGCGGAGCGGACCCCCCAAAACCGGCCCCAGUUCGGAUCGGGGUCUGCAACUCGACCCCGUGAAGCCGGAUUCGCUAGUAACGGCGCAUCAGCCACGGCGCCGUGAAUACGUUCCCGGGCCUUGUACACACCGCCCGU
RNAcentral lists this ribosomal RNA (499 nucleotides) under uncultured bacterium. Its description in RNAcentral is "bacterial SSU rRNA". It matches the Rfam family "Bacterial small subunit ribosomal RNA", at positions 899 to 1397 of the family's 1533-position model. The record is from RNAcentral.